GGAUCCCUGAGGUCCGGGAGGUCCCGGAACCGGGUCGGCCUCCUACCUGCCCGGCUCUUCGGGCUCCCUCUGGCCGGCCCGGCGGCCCUACUUGCGAGCCGGCUCACCUGGUUGUCCCAAAUGGCAGCAGAGCUGUACCUGGGUGACAACGGAUGAGGGUUUAGCGCCUCUUUUGCCCGUGGGUCCUGGCAACCACCGACGUCAAGGGAAACGGCCCCAUUGGCUACGCGGGGACCGAGGAUAACUCGGGAGCGCAGGGUCUCGUCCAGGGGGUCGCUGCAUAGACGCUCCCACUCUUUCCUCUGCAAGGGAACAGUGACUCUUAGUGUUUUGAGAAAAUGAACCUCAUCAGGUGAGCGCCUUUCACUGGGCAGGAAGAAACGUAAAAUCUUUUGCAUAUUGCAUAAAACGGGACACAGACCCCCAUUACUGGUUCUGCAAUAAUAGCAUGAAUUAUUUUCCAUGAGAUUCUUAACCUUCACCUCGUACUAGUAAAGAAGACAUUUAUCAUCAGAGGUCUACUUUAAAAAAAAUGACGAUCCCAACGUCCAAAUCCCAGCAUUUUAACACCCUUUCCGUAUGGAAGCUACCCCUCCAGUAAGCAGGAUGCACAUUGGAUACUGGAAUGACCCGUGUGUCUUCUGACAGCCGAGUGUCAUGACCGGCACAUGAAUGAAUAAUGACAUGAAUUGGCUGGCCAUAGUCUCUACAGAAACCAAACCAUUGUAGAACACUGAAAAAGUGUUCCUUGUUUCUUCCUGCCCUUAUACUUAACCUCCCUUCACACUGCCUAUUCAGCUGAGUUCCUUUAUUCUUUUCUUUUUUC
Molecule: long non-coding RNA, 826 nt
Organism: Jaculus jaculus (lesser Egyptian jerboa)
Lineage: Eukaryota; Metazoa; Chordata; Mammalia; Rodentia; Dipodidae
Exons: 3
Source: RefSeq, a predicted model, not a curated record